AGGGGAAGGCAACCUUGUAAUAACCCAGGUGCUGAGGACAAGGCUAGAGUCUGAAGCUCAGGAAUUUGCAUUGACCGAUGGUAAUGGCUUUUGGAGAGUUUGUGCAGCAUAAGGCUUGACCUGAAGUUAAUGACCUGAAGUUAACCUGAAUUUCUAUUUUCAAUAGGCAGGAACCAUUAAGACAUCAGUCACUGGAACAAGCACCCCAACAGGCACUGUGAGUGGAAACGUGAUUGUGGACACAUUAGCGGGUGUUCCCGCUGCUACCUUCCAGUCCAUUAGCAAGUGUUUGGCAUCACCUGUGGCUUCUGGAACUUUGACUACAUCCGGAGGUUCUGCUUCUGCUCAAGUGGUCCAUACCCAGCAACGAGCAGUUGGUUCCCCAGCUACUGCCACCACUGAUCUGGUGUCCAUGACAAC
Molecule: long non-coding RNA, 420 nt
Organism: Alexandromys fortis (reed vole)
Lineage: Eukaryota; Metazoa; Chordata; Mammalia; Rodentia; Cricetidae
Exons: 3
Source: RefSeq, a predicted model, not a curated record